Molecule: long non-coding RNA, 171 nt
Organism: Chelonia mydas (Green sea turtle)
Lineage: Eukaryota; Metazoa; Chordata; Testudines; Cheloniidae
Exons: 3
Source: RefSeq, a predicted model, not a curated record
UGGGUUUGUCUGAUUAGAAACUUGGGAUUUGGCUUCAGCCCAGAGCAGCGGGGCUCAGGAUUUGGCUUUCUGCCCUGGGUCUCAGUGAGUCUAACGCUGGCUCUGCUCUCUGAUUUAUUUUGGCGGACCCCCUGAAACCUGCUCACGGCCCCCUCAGGGGGCCCUGGACCC